Molecule: RNase P RNA, 380 nt
Filed under: Mucilaginibacter yixingensis
Lineage: Bacteria; Pseudomonadati; Bacteroidota; Sphingobacteriia; Sphingobacteriales; Sphingobacteriaceae
Description: Bacterial RNase P class A
Rfam family: Bacterial RNase P class A
About the family: Ribonuclease P (RNase P) is a ubiquitous endoribonuclease, found in archaea, bacteria and eukarya as well as chloroplasts and mitochondria. Its best characterised activity is the generation of mature 5'-ends of tRNAs by cleaving the 5'-leader elements of precursor-tRNAs.
Source: RNAcentral
CCAGCAAAACGUUCUAUCGCUCGGCGCUCAAAACGCAGGGAGGAAAGUCCGGGCAACACAGAGCAUCCUGCUUCCUAACGGGAAGGCGCCGUCAGCCGGCGACAGCAAGUGCCACAGAAAAUAAACCGCCCCCACAGUAAAGUGAGGGUAAGGGUGAAAACGCGGGGUAAGAGCCCACGGCCUUUACGGGCAACCGUAAUUGCGGUAAACCUCAGGAGUUGAAAGGCCAAAUAGGUCCUGAAUAUGGAAGCUGCUCGCUUCUGUGCUUUGCAAAAAGCACGUCAGGAUGGGUAGGCUGCUAAAGCCUUGCAGCAAUGUAAGGCGCAGAUUAAUGAUAGAAGCCGCGCAAGCGGUACAGAACCCGGCUUACAGCUUUGCUG